RNAcentral lists this long non-coding RNA (573 nucleotides) under Nicotiana benthamiana. RNAcentral describes it as "long non-coding RNA (NBEN_LNC034266)". Lineage: Eukaryota; Viridiplantae; Streptophyta; Magnoliopsida; Solanales; Solanaceae. The record is from RNAcentral.
ACAAAGCAACCACAAAACUCAAACAAGCUCCGUGAACAGAAUUGAACCAAUUCCCAUUGAAAUCAGAAGAAGCAACAACAAAAAAAACAUUGAAAUUCAAAUGAACCCCAUGACAAAACUUUUCAUAUCAAAACAUGAGUCUAACAGAUUCAGCGACAAGGAUCUGAAAAAUGUAAAUCCCAUCGAAGAACUAACCCAAACAACAGAAUGAAAAACACUCCAACCGGAACCGUGAACUCGAAACUCGGAAGGAGAAUGAAAACGGCCUUAAACAAACUCCAUUACCAAACACACAACAAAAGAAAAUUCAGAAUUAAAGAGAAGAAACCGAAGUGUUCUUGUAUAUUUUGACCUUUUUGAAACUCAAAACCUUAAUGUUGAUGGAAGGUUGGGCAGCUGGGUUUAUUUGGGAGUUAGGAGUGAAGUCUCAUAUUCUGAAAAUGGUGAAGAAGAGGUCGUUUGGGGUGGUCUGUGACAGAGUAGAUGAAGUUCAGGUGGGGUUCUUGGAGAAGACAGAGUCGGGGGGUGGGUCUCGUAUAUUGCGGCUCUCCCUUCAAAAAUUUUGGCUUCUUU